UGGCACUGCCAGGGGCCAGCCCCGCAGGGACAGGAGAGUGCUGUACCAUGAGUACAGGUGCUAUAAAUAGGGAAGAGCCAUGUGUCAGGCAGCAGCUCAGCUUCCUGAGGGGCAGCAGGAUCUGAUUUCCCCCGGCACCAAUGGAUUUCCAGACAUCUGAACACUUGGGGCGCCACUGCUUUCAAAACAAGUGUCCAAAAUCCCUGGUCAGACCGGAGCUGAGGACAGGGAAACCCCCAGGAGCCGGAGGCAGCUCCAGCUCACACCUCCCGAUGCACACACCGGGAUCGACAGCCAGGAAAACCUCAAAAUCCACCCAGAGCUGCUGAAACCCGCACCCAGCCCCGGGGAAGCGGCACGAGGGCCAAGCCCAGGGGGAUAUAAAUGAUGUUCCUCCCCGGGGCUGCGAGCGGAGCGCGCCCGGGCAGGGCGCCGGGCUGGACCCUCUAGUGCUGCCCGUGCCAGCGGGACCCCGAGGCAGGGCAGCGCCCCGAGGGGCUGCCAGGCCCUGGCAUCGCUCAGCACGUGCUUUGGGGCUGUUCCUGCGCUGCAGAGCCGCGGGAGAGGCGGCGAGGCGACAGCACAGGCACCGCGGAUGGGCGCGGGCUGCCCUGCCCUGCCCUGGCUGCGCUAGACCCCGGUCAGAGGAGGCUGGAUGAGGAACUGGAGUGGUGAAAGCAGGCGCAUGAUGGAGAAAAUGGAAUAAAUAUUUCCCCAACCAGAAACUAUUGCACAGACUGCUGGGGCAGGAGAAACACAGCUGAGUUACUGUGAAAGCAAGGCAAAAUCCAAACAGUUUAGGCUGUGGAAACCAGUCAUUUGCAAAGCUACUUCCAAAAUCACUUCACAUCCACCAGCCCAGGGGCUGCUCUGCUGCUGGGAGGUUCCCCAGUGAGGGCCAGCCAGCAGCCAGCAGCCGUGCUGCUCCAGAACGCAGCAGUGCAGAGGCCACCCCUCCAGACGUCCCCAGCACGGCCCCGCUGGCCUGUGGCUGCCCUGGCUCAGGCAGUUCCUCUGUGGCAGGGCAGCCCCGGGGUGGCUGUGCAGCCCCAGCUGGGCUGGGCUGCCAGGCAGAGGCGUGGGGCUGGCAGCACAGGGAGUGGCAGCGGGACAUGGCUGGUGCUAUCUGUGACCCACAUCGCUUUAUGGGCUGUCUGCUGUUUACAGCGCAGCAGCCAGCUGGGGUCAGGCUGCACAGGUGACUCACAGCUGAGCAGCUCCUGCUGCCCCGUGCUUGGGACUGAAAAUGGGAUAAUAACUGGUGUGGGAACUGCUGUGAGGCUUCGCCUCUCCAUUCCUCUCGAUGGCUGCCGGGGCUUACGGAUACAGGACUGGAAUUCUUGCUUGCUUAAACAGUGCUCUUAAGUAUUUCAUCAUGAAGCGGGGGAAGCUGAAAUUAAAAUAUGAUGAGUCGAAGCCCAGGCAUUGCUCAGCCGAGGGCUUGGUGACCUGCCAGGCUCCUGGGGAAUGCUUUUAAUUUGGAUAAGUGGAAAUUGCAUCAAUGGCACAAGCAGCACGCUGCUCUUGCUGCUCACACAGAGCGUGGGUGCAGCUGGCAGUGCCACAGGAUGUGUUGUCUCUGGCUGAGCACCCAGCCAGGCACGGCUGCUCCCGUGCACAGC
Passer montanus (Eurasian tree sparrow) is the source of this 1622-nucleotide long non-coding RNA. RefSeq lists it as uncharacterized. Lineage: Eukaryota; Metazoa; Chordata; Aves; Passeriformes; Passeridae. The transcript has 4 exons. The record is from RefSeq and is a predicted model, not a curated record.